CCCUGGUGAGCUCAGUUGGUAGAGCGCUCCAUUGGAAAUGGAGAGGUCUCGGGUUCGAUACCCGGACCAGGCG
This 73-nucleotide transfer RNA is filed under the name Ixodes scapularis (black-legged tick). It matches the Rfam family "tRNA". Rfam says of the family: Transfer RNA (tRNA) molecules are approximately 80 nucleotides in length. Lineage: Eukaryota; Metazoa; Arthropoda; Arachnida; Ixodida; Ixodidae. The record is from Rfam by way of RNAcentral.